UGAAGUGCGUUGAAUAGGAGUAGUAAGGUCAAGUAUUUGUGCAGAGAGCUAUGGGUUGGUGUGACAUAGUCAAAUAACAUCCUGAACUCGCCUAGGAGCAAUAAGGUGGAACGGAAAUCUAAUUCUUAGUAAAUCUUAACGGUUAACCUUCGAUAACAGGUUUGUAAUCAUACGAUUGCUACUAAGGUGGAUUCAUAAUGGAAUCAAAAAGAGUGGUACCGCGUUAAGUAAAUGGCUUAGCGUCUCUUGA
Bacillus cereus is the source of this 250-nucleotide non-coding RNA. NCBI's taxonomy places the organism in Bacteria, Bacillati, Bacillota, Bacilli, Caryophanales, Bacillaceae. The record is from Rfam.